AACAGGUUUGGUCCUGGCCUUUCUAUUAGUUGUUAAUAAGAUUACACAUGCAAGACUCCUCACCCCAGUGAAAAUGCCCUCCAAGCCACUUAAAGGUCAAAAGGAGCUGGUAUCAAGCACGCUACAAAGCAGCUCAAAACGCCUUGCUCAGCCACGCCCCCACGGGAAACAGCAGUGACAAAAAUUAAGCAAUAAAUGAAAGUCUGACUAAGCUAUAUUAUUGAGAACUGGUAAAUCUCGUGCCAGCCACCGCGGUCACACGAUUAGGCCAAACUAAUAGACAUACGGCGUAAAGAGUGUUUUAGAGUUUAUAAAUCAAAUAAAGCCAAACCCUAACCAGGCUGUAAAAAGCUCCUGUUAUUGUAAGAUAUCCAACGAAAGUGGCUUUAGAAAAUCUGAACACACGAUAGCUAAGACCCAAACUGGGAUUAGAUACCCCACUAUGCUUAGCCCUAAACAUAAAGAGUUAAAAACAAAACUAUUCGCCAGAGUACUACCAGCAAGCGCUAGAAACUCAAAGGACUUGGCGGUGCCCUACACCCCCCUAGAGGAGCCUGUUCUAUAAUCGAUAAACCCCGAUCUACCUCACCAAUCCUUGCUAAGUCAGCCUAUAUACCGCCAUCUUCAGCAAACCCUAAAAAGGACAAAAAGUAAGCACAAGUAUUAACAUAAAAACGUUAGGUCAAGGUGUAGCCCAUGGAUUGGAAAGAAAUGGGCUACAUUUCCCCUAAACCCGGACACAUUACGAAAACCUAUGUGAAAGCAUAUGUUAAAGGUGGAUUUAGUAGUAAAUUAAGAAUAGAGAGCUUAAUUGAAUGAGGCCAUGGGGCACGCACACACCGCCCGUCACCCUCCUCAAGUAAAAAAUAUUGACUACCUCACUAAACCCACAAUAUUAGCAUAUGAGAGGAGACAAGUCGUAACAAGGUAAGUGUACUGGAAAGUGCACUUGGACAAC
This 958-nucleotide non-coding RNA is filed under the name Corynorhinus rafinesquii (Rafinesque's big-eared bat). RNAcentral's name for it is "12S ribosomal RNA". It matches the Rfam family "Bacterial small subunit ribosomal RNA". The record is from RNAcentral. Lineage: Eukaryota; Metazoa; Chordata; Mammalia; Chiroptera; Vespertilionidae.